ACAGGGGACCUUGAACGAGGAGCCGCGGGGGUACUGCUUUGAGGCGGGGUUUGGAGGAGCGGCGGGUGGGCGGGCUUCUAGCAGACGGCAGGUGGCGUGAUUCUCCUGUGGGAGCCGGUGGAGAUUGGCCAGGGGGAACUGGCUCUCUCGCCAUCCUUCUAGAGCGGCUCCAUGUCCAUGUGGAAGCGGUACCGCCACACCCUUUCCUGCUGUGGGGAGGCCAGUGGGGAGCCAGAAGGCACUUGUGUGGGAAAGGAUGCCAGGAAUGGAGACUGGCCACCACAGAGGCGAGCUUUGCAGAAAACACCUCCAUCUGGUCCUCUACUCUGCACGGGGUACAGUGGUGGAUAGGAAAUUAUGAAGAGAUGGUUUCUGGAUCUCAGCACGAAGAGAUGGUGCCUGGCCAUAAGGAACCUUCAUGUGCACUGACUGGACAAUAAAUACACAAGCAGGAUGUCGCUAACAAUCACACUUCGACUACCUGCAGCCACACCAAGCUGUUCAGGGCUGGGAACUCAACAGCAGACUCCCGUUCAGGGAAAGACGUUACGAGGGGCUGAGCGAUCUUCGGCAACACCCUUUGAACCCUUCUUGACACUGCAACACACUGGUCAGCAGGAGAGAGGGAAGACGGCCUCGACCACCGUGCAUUUGGACUGAGGCAUCGCAUCAUCGGGGCGGUCGAGGGGUGCAGCCUUCACACCUCCCCUUGGUCUACCUGGAGCAGAAAAAUAUACUAGGACAUCUUUUCAGGCCAGCAGAUAAGUAUAUUUAAUUUGCAUGGAUGUUAUGGGCUCUGCGGUAUUAAACUAGUGGUUGGGACUUGCCCCCGUCAUUCUGUCUUUUGUCAGCAGCGAAAAUGACCUGGGUGCCUGCACCAGGCUUGGGACUGGACAUUGGUCCUUGGGCGGCUGGGGAAGGUUAAAGUCUAGCAAGGCACAGAGCUGUUGCAGAAUAAGGACAUGCCUUCCCAACAGAACCCUGAUGAUCUUGACCCCUUUGGCCCCUGACACAGCAGAAUACCAGCGGAUGAGGCGGGGACGAACAGAGGGCAAGGCCACAUGGAGAGAGAGAAAGGUCACCAAGGGGUCUCCAUUACAAGCGGUCUUGAGCCCAGUAUGAUUUUCUCCUACAAUUGAAUCUACUCCCUGGAUGGCCUCCAGUGUUCAAGCUGAUGACAAUCGCCUGUCUUUGCAAUUGAUUUCCUGGAAGCGGCUGGCCAGCCAGCAGCCACAUGAUGGAUAUGUGCUGGGGGACUGGUGCGGCCGAGCGGGGCAUAGGAGCUGCUGCCCCGGAGGAUGAGACUCUCUGUCCUGCUCACCACCGUGUCCUGAUGCGCUGUGCCUGAACAAACGAUUGAUAAGUAUUUGUGGACAGAAUGAUGGAAGGAGGGAUCUGAAAACCUAGGAGCCCUCCCUGAGGGCUCCCAUGUGUGAAAGGGCCUCCCAUUAUAUGCUUUGAUGGCACUUGGCUCUUCUCAUGACUCUCAUCGCAUUUUGCAAUUACUAUGAAUCUGUGGAAAUACUAUGUUGAUGCCAGUCUCUCUCUGAAGCCUGCGUCUGUUUUCUCAUUGCCUCCCUUGUGCCUGGUACAGGGUCUCGUACAGAGCUGGUGCUCUGCGAAGAGCAGCUGUAGGAGUGAAUGAAUGAAUGAAGACAAGGCAAAGGCCCUCGGAGGCUUUCCACGGUCACUACGGGCUCAGAGAGAACAUUGCAGCUUUUUCCUGAAUGGUCGCCACGUGGAGCCGGAGUCAUUAGCAUCACGUCUCCCGCUUGCCAUGACCUGCUGACCACCCUAAGUAGAUAAAAAUGAAAAUGGCCAAGACAGCUGCAAGGCUCAGAAACAAACUGCCUGGUGGCUCUGCAGAGUCUUUUAUGUGGAAGCUUUCCGGAACAGCCCCGCCUUCCCCAUCCUCUCAAACCCCUGUAAAGCCGUCCUGAAAGUUUCUGCUUCUCUAACUGCUGGUCCCCGGUGAGGGCAGAACCCCUUUCUCGGGAACAGAGCCCAAGUGUGAGCGGCCCCCACCACAGGUGUGCGCUCCAGUGCUCUUCCCCCAGUCUGGGAGUUGGAGCAUCGAUCCGCAGUUUCUGGAGGACAAAAUCUGAGACAACCGACGGCCACCUGACAGCCUCCCAAGGAUGGGAGUGAUGCUGCCCCUCUCCUUCUCCGGGCCUCAGUUUCCCCAGCCAGGCCGUGGGGGUGGGGCAAGGAGCCGGAGACUGGCUCCCGGGCUCCCUGGGAAGAACUGUGCUCAGCAAGCGGGAGCCCAUGCCAGCUCCACACCCCAUCACUGCACCUCUGCCGCCGCCCCCUCCACCGUCAGCCAGCCCCACGGCAGCCGCUUGCCAGAAAGCAGGCCCGUGCACUCAGCCCAGGCUGGAAGGGAAUGAGCAAUGGCCCUAAUUGCAGAGCCGGCAGGAGAGGCCGGGAGGAGGCAGCGGAGAGAGAGAAAUCAUCUUGCGCUGCGCCAGUUACUGAUCAGCUGGGACAUAAUUGUGGGGCUGCCAUCCCGGCUGCUGGAGGUACCAGGCCUCCCUCUCGUUAAUCAACGAUAAUCCAGAAUUACGACCCUUAAUGACUUGCAAAGACACUUAUGCACACACGCACACAUGCUCUCACACGGACACAAGUAAUUGAUAAUCAACCAUGUAAUUUGAGGCAAUAAUUCUGUCCGGGCCAGAUGACAGGCUCCACCCUGCCAGCAGAACAGAACCCAAAUCACAGCCCCACCGCUGCGAUGGGGGGCAGCCUCCCUGGGGAAGGGAGGCUCCUUCCUGUCUCUAGAGUGGGUGCCGAGGGGGCCUCCAGUUGUCUCUAGGCCGUAGGAGUACAGGGAGGUUUUGUUUGUUUGUUUGCUUCCCACUUUUACUUGUCUGUAUUUUCUAACUUUUGCACAUCAUUAGUUGUAACAUUUGCAAACCUCAUUGCUGCCGUCAUCCCUCACUCGUGGCCCUAAACCAACGGUCUCAAACUUCAGUCCACGUUCACGUCACCUAGAGAGAUGGUUAAAAAUGUGGACU
Long non-coding RNA from Acinonyx jubatus (cheetah), 3020 nucleotides. RefSeq lists it as uncharacterized. The record is from RefSeq and is a predicted model, not a curated record. Lineage: Eukaryota; Metazoa; Chordata; Mammalia; Carnivora; Felidae. The transcript has 11 exons.